AACGAACGCUGGCGGCAUGCUUAACACAUGCAAGUCGAACGAUGCUUUCGGGCUUAGUGGCGCACGGGUGCGUAACGCGUGGGAAUCUGCCCUUGGGUUCGGAAUCACAGUGAGAAAUUGCUGCUAAUACCGGAUGAUGUCUUCGGACCAAAGAUUUAUUGCGCAGGGAUGAGGCCGCGUAGGAUUAGCUAGUUGGUGGGGUAAUAGCCUACCAAGGCGACGAUGCUUAGCUGGUCUGUGAGGAUGAUCAGCCACACUGGGCCUGCGACACGGCCCAGCCUCGUACGGGGGGCAGCAGAAGGUAAUAUUGGACAAUGGGCGCAGGCCUGAGCCAGCAGUGCCGCGGGAGUGAUGAAGGCCUUAGGAUUGUAAAGCCCUUUUACACGGGAUGAUAAUGACGGUACCGGGAGAAUAAGCACCGGCUAACUCCGUG
RNAcentral lists this ribosomal RNA (433 nucleotides) under uncultured bacterium. RNAcentral's name for it is "partial 16S ribosomal RNA". It matches the Rfam family "Bacterial small subunit ribosomal RNA", at positions 29 to 507 of the family's 1533-position model. The record is from RNAcentral.